GGGCCCGUAGCUCAGCUUGGAUAGAGCAUCUCCACCUCUAUGAGGUGGAGCUCGAGCCGGCCUUCUAAGCCGGGGGUCGUGGGUUCGAAUCCCACCGGGCCCGCCA
The sequence is a transfer RNA, 106 nucleotides long. It matches the Rfam family "tRNA". Rfam says of the family: Transfer RNA (tRNA) molecules are approximately 80 nucleotides in length. Their secondary structure includes four short double-helical elements and three loops (D, anti-codon, and T loops). Further hydrogen bonds mediate the characteristic L-shaped molecular structure. tRNAs have two regions of fundamental functional importance: the anti-codon, which is responsible for specific mRNA codon recognition, and the 3' end, to which the tRNAs corresponding amino acid is attached (by aminoacyl-tRNA synthetases). tRNAs cope with the degeneracy of the genetic code in two manners: having more than one tRNA (with a specific anti-codon) for a particular amino acid; and 'wobble' base-pairing, i.e. permitting non-standard base-pairing at the 3rd anti-codon position.